Clarias gariepinus (North African catfish) is the source of this 1200-nucleotide long non-coding RNA. RefSeq lists it as uncharacterized. Lineage: Eukaryota; Metazoa; Chordata; Actinopteri; Siluriformes; Clariidae. The record is from RefSeq and is a predicted model, not a curated record. The transcript is spliced from 4 exons.
UAACCAGCUAUUUAUAGGCGAUCUAAUCAGCUACCUCGGUUCAGGUGAGCAUCCGCAUCACCUGACUGAGGUGCCUUCUGGGAAACUGAGUCUGCAAACCAAAACUACACAAACUAAACAGUGACCUCUAGUGGUGGUCCCUUACAAAUUUGGAGCAACUGCAUUUUUAGAUUUUACUAAUUAUAAAUCCUCUAUUUGUGUUUUAACUUCUGGUUAACAGCAGAAAGAAACAUAAAGAACAGUACAGAGUCAAAGCAGGACGAACAUAACAGAAGGCCAGACAGAUUCAUCGUGUUAUAUGCUACAAUCCCCAUUUUACUGGCUCUGGCUCUAGCUGCUGUGGGGUUCAUCUGGAAAAAGACUAAAACCUCAUCAGGAUCUGAGGAAGUGGAACAACAAACGAUGCAAAAUGGGGAUGAAACCAAAGAAGCUGUAAAUAUGGAAUGUAAGCAUUUCAAACAUUAUGAUUUCUAUAUUAUACAUAUUUCACAUUUUAAUAAUAGCCAGUUUUGAAGUACAGCAUGGUAACACUCUAUUUUGGUUGAGUUUCCACCCACCUCCCGAAAACAUGCCAGUAGGUGGACUGACCAGGCUUAAUUGUCCCUGGGUGCGAAUACGUGUACAAAUAUAAGUGACUGUGUCAGUGUCUGUGAACUGUGUAGUUGUUUUUGCAAAAUAGGUUCCAGAUCCAGUGACAGCCCUGAUCAAGGGGAAAAUGCGGAAAAUGUAUCAUAUUUACAUUUUUUUAAUGCUCAACCUUCAUGUUACAUACAGGUUCUCUGUAUGAUGUGGGGACUGGACAAGAAGAGAGUAAGGUGGGAUCUCAGCAGAAGGAUUUAAUGCAGGAAGACCAAAAAGAAUCCACAGACAUUGAUUUAGUUAUGAAGCAGAAUGACUUGUAUGAACUCGGGGCAUGAGAGGACACUGGACUGAUUUGUAGGAGUGUUUACGAGCAUGUGAAUUUCUUUCUUUUACUGGACUAAAAUUAAACACAUUUUCACUUGGGGAAGUAAUAAUGGCACUUAUGUAGAUAGCAAAUGUAUUAUAGAUUACAGUAAAUACAGAAGUUUAAGGCAUAAAAUCCCUGUGAUCCACCAGCAGUACAGUAUCUUAAACAUAUUUUUGCAUCUUGUCAUGUACUUUAUUUUUCUUUUUUUUUUUUCAUAUUUUUCUACUGAUAAACUGUGUGAACUGCCAUUA